CAUAACUCUGCAUAAAUCAUUCUGCAAUGUGAAUUCAACACUUUCAAAGAAAUUUCUUCUUGUCUUUAUAAAGUUUCAAUUACAGGCUCUGCAUUUACAAGAAGUCUGCUGGCUCAUGCAAAUCCAUCCUGAUCAAAUAAACUUCCUAAGGGUUGGUGUCUGAAGGAUCUGCUUAACAACUGAGGACAUUCAGAAUAUGGGAAAAAAUGGCUUUCUGUCAUCUCUGGCUUCCUGCAUUGUUGAAAAAGUCAAAGAAGUGAUUAAAACAGCCGCACAAGCAUCAUGGUUUGUGAUGCUGCCUCUUGAAGGUUGGAGGGAAAGGACUGGGGUCCACUCUCAUACCGCUGGGCGGCCAAAUGCUGCUCUGACUAGAGAAGGGAAAGUCUCUGCUUUUACCUUCAGAGCUGCGGAUGGAUCUCCACUGUGCACUUGUGGCGAUUCCAGCCUCUAAGCCGUUUGAGUAACAUCAGCCACACACUGAGGCUCCUGGUCGGGAAGGUGAACAGGAGGUCACAUAGGCCUCCAAGGUCUCAUUUGUUACCUGAAUUAGUGGGUUGGUGGGUGAGAUGAUUUUCUGCUCCCUUGGCGUGAACCUGAGAAUGAGUGGAAAGGAGCUGUCAGCUUUCAAAGUAGAUGUUUCAGCGGCGAAGAAAUAUCUGAGAUGAAAGAAGGGCUGGGUAAAGAAAACUGGAAGCACGCGGGUAAGCCCAAAUAAUACUGAAAACAUAAACUAGUAAUUAUGAUAAUGUCUCAUUUGCAGGAUUAUAAAAUGACAUGAAACUAAAAUACAAAGCAAGCAUAAGCUAUAAAUCCAGAGG
RNAcentral lists this long non-coding RNA (818 nucleotides) under Callithrix jacchus (white-tufted-ear marmoset). RNAcentral describes it as "lncRNA (ENSCJAG00000071062.1)". Lineage: Eukaryota; Metazoa; Chordata; Mammalia; Primates; Cebidae. The record is from RNAcentral.